UACGUAGGGUGCAAGCGUUGCCCGGAUUUAUUGGGCGUAAAGGGCGCGUCGGCGGCUCUGCACGUUCGUUGUGAAAUCGCCCGGCUCAACUGGGCGGGGUCAGCGGAUACGGCAGAGCUUGAGCAAGCUAGGGGGCAAUGGAAUUCCCGGUGUAGUGGUGGAAUGCGUAGAUAUCGUGAGGAACACCAGAGGCGAAGGCGGCUACCUGGACAAUUGCUGACGCUCAGGCACGAAAGCGUGGGGAGCAAAAGGG
RNAcentral lists this ribosomal RNA (253 nucleotides) under uncultured bacterium. Its description in RNAcentral is "partial 16S ribosomal RNA". It matches the Rfam family "Bacterial small subunit ribosomal RNA", at positions 524 to 776 of the family's 1533-position model. The record is from RNAcentral.